RNA transcript from Musa acuminata subsp. malaccensis (wild Malaysian banana), 839 nucleotides. It is a transcript of the gene named vesicle-fusing ATPase-like, with no coding region annotated. The record is from RefSeq and is a predicted model, not a curated record. NCBI's taxonomy places the organism in Eukaryota, Viridiplantae, Streptophyta, Magnoliopsida, Zingiberales, Musaceae.
UACUGAAGGAUAUUUUACAUGCUGUCAUUAGCUUAUAUCUCUGCGCCAGAUCACAGAUGCAUGAGAAUCUUUUGUUAGCAAAACACAUUUCUUUCUUACAUGUGACGUUUUGAUGAUUUUUCAUUUUUCUUUAUCUUUUUCUUUUGUGACCAAAGGAACUUUGUCAGAUUCAAUCUGAUGGCUUCAAUUUAAGCUGGAGUUCUGGAUCAAGUUUUAUAUUCAAUUUUUUUUGCUUUUAAUGAGUCAAUCUGAACACAAUUUUGCAUAUUCGGAUUAUUUUAGUUGACAUGCAAUAGUUUAUCUAACCAGUUCUAAGAGUUGUUUGUGGCAUUGUCUACAGAGAUGCAGGCCAAGCUGUUCCUCAUAAAGUAUGCUUGCCUGACAAUAUAUAGAGACUGACACUUAUUUGGUCCCCAAAGGAUGAGUUGAUAGUUCUCUCCUCCGAGAUGCAGGAAUUGACACCAUCAAUUCAAGGGAGGAGGCACAAGCUUAGAUGAGUUCACACCAGCAACACAAAAAAGGAUGAGGGCCUGAAAUCACAUCGGACGCCCACUGGGUCAUGAUGAUAUGGACUCCUCCACAGCGAGCAGCCAUGGGAUGUGAGAUCCACAUAGCAACGUAGAUAAGGGAAGCCCGCAACACUAGGCUGUUGUUGUUCCAGUAAAGAUCGAAAGGUCAGGCGACAGUGACGAUCGACUUUUUCGAGCAUGAUGACAACGACGACCUGCUCCUGCAAUGUCCGUUCCCUACCGUAGAGUGGGAAUAUAUGGGUUUGUAGUUGGCACUAUUUCUCGCAGGAAUUAAUUGAAAGCCAUGCAAAUUGCUGUUUUUCUUUCUUA